CCUGGCUCAGGACGAACGCUGGCGGCGUGCCUAAUACAUGCAAGUCGAGCGCGGGAAGCGAGUGGAUCCCUUCGGGGUGAAGCUCGUGGAACGAGCGGCGGACGGGUGAGUAACACGUGGGCAACCUGCCUGUAAGACCGGAAUAACCCCGGGAAACCGGGGCUAAUGCCGGGUAAUACUUUUCUUCGCAUGAAGGAAAGUUGAAAGAUGGCUUCUUGCUAUCACUUACAGAUGGGCCCGCAGCGCAUUAGCUAGUUGGUGAGGUAACGGCUCACCAAGGCGACGAUGCGUAGCCGACCUGAGAGGGUGAUCGGCCACACUGGGACUGAGACACGGCCCAGACUCCUACGGGAGGCAGCAGUAGGGAAUCUUCCGCAAUGGACGAAAGUCUGACUGAGCAACGCCGCGUGAACGAUGAAGGUCUUCGGAUCGUAAAGUUCUGUUGUUAGGGAAGAACAAGUACCGUGCGAAUAGAGCGGUACCUUGACGGUACCUAACGAGGAAGCCCCGGCUAACUACGUGCCAGCAGCCGCGGUAAUAC
Molecule: ribosomal RNA, 541 nt
Filed under: uncultured marine bacterium
Lineage: Bacteria
Description: bacterial SSU rRNA
Rfam family: Bacterial small subunit ribosomal RNA
Source: RNAcentral